UACAGAGGUCUCAAGCGUUGUUCGGAUUCAUUGGGCGUAAAGGGUGCGUAGGCGGCCUAUUAAGUCAGGGGUGAAAGACGGUAGCUUAACUAUCGCAGUGCCUUUGAUACUGAUAGGCUUGAAUGUACUUGAGGUAGGCGGAAUGUGACAAGUAGCGGUGAAAUGCAUAGAUAUGUCACAGAACACCAAUUGCGAAGGCAGCUUACUAAAGUAUGAUUGACGCUGAGGCACGAAAGCGUGGGGAUCAAACAGG
Molecule: ribosomal RNA, 253 nt
Filed under: uncultured bacterium
Lineage: Bacteria
Description: partial 16S ribosomal RNA
Rfam family: Bacterial small subunit ribosomal RNA
Source: RNAcentral